CGACCGGUGCACGGGUGAGUAACGCGUAUGCAACCUGCCCGAUACCGGGGUAUAGCCCAUGGAAACGUGGAUUAACACCCCAUAGUACUUUUAUCCUGCAUGGGAUGUGAGUUAAAUGUUCAAGGUAUCGGAUGGGCAUGCGUCCUAUUAGUUAGUUGGCGGGGUAACGGCCCACCAAGACGAUGAUAGGUAGGGGUUCUGAGAGGAAGGUCCCCCACAUUGGAACUGAGACACGGUCCAA
This 241-nucleotide ribosomal RNA is filed under the name uncultured bacterium. RNAcentral's name for it is "partial 16S ribosomal RNA". It matches the Rfam family "Bacterial small subunit ribosomal RNA", at positions 92 to 334 of the family's 1533-position model. The record is from RNAcentral.